Molecule: long non-coding RNA, 1331 nt
Filed under: Olea europaea (common olive)
Lineage: Eukaryota; Viridiplantae; Streptophyta; Magnoliopsida; Lamiales; Oleaceae
Description: long non-coding RNA (OEUR_LNC010675)
Source: RNAcentral
GGGCCGUUUGCAAUCAACCUCCAAAUUUCAGCCCAUUCUGACACCAUCGCGAAAAAUGACAAAAAUGGCCCUGGUGUGGUUUUGCUUUGUUAAUUUUCUGUCCAACACUUCUUCAACCUGACUGAAUUAAUAAGGAUAUUAAUUAUUCGGAGGCCCAAACGAAGGAAUUUGGCUAUAAUCCCAUGAUCCCAGGUCUGUGCCCCGAUUCCAAUUUCGGGGGCUGUUUCAAAUCAACAAGCUAAAUUUUGGCCCAUUCCGAUACCGUCGCGACAAAUGACAAAAUUACCCCUUCGGUGGUUUUUCUUUGUUAAUUUUCUGUCCAGUGCUUCUUCAACAUGACAUAAUUAGUACGGAAAUUAAUAAUUCGUUGGCUAAAACGAAGGAGUUUGGCUUCAAUCCUGUGAUCCCGAGUCCGUACCCCGAGUCCAAUUUCUCGGGCCGUUUCCAAUCAACCUACCAAAUUUCGCCCCAUUCCGACACCGUCACGAAAAAUGAUAAAAUUGCCCGGGGUGCAAUUUUGCUUUGUUAAUUUUCUGCCCAACACUUUCUCAACCUGACAUAAUUAGUAAGGAAAUUAAUUAUUUCGAGGCCCAAACGAAGGAAUUUGGAUAAAAUCCCGUGAUCCCGGGUCUGUGCCCCGAGUCCAAUUUCGUGUGCCGUUUCCAGUGAACCUUCCAAAUUUCGGCCCAUUCCGACGCCAUCACGACAAAUGACAAAAUUGCCCCUGGUGCGGUUUUUCAUUGUUAAUUUUCUGUCCAGCACUUCUUUUUAACAUGACAUAAUUAAUACGAAAAUUAAUUAUUUGGAGGCCCAAACGAAGGAAUUUAGCUAAAAUCUCGUGAUCCCGGGUCUGUGCCCCGAGUCCAAUUUUACGGGCCGUUUCCAAUCAACCUGCCAAAUUUUGGCCCAUUCCGAUACCGUCGUGACAAAUGACAAAAAAGCCCCUUCUGCAGUUUUUCUUUGUUAAUUUUUUGUCCAGCGCUUCUUCAACAUGACAUAAUUAGUACGGAAAUUAAUAAUUCGGAGGCCUAAACGAAGGAGUUUGGCCAAAAUCCCGUGAUCUCGGGUCUGUGCCCCGAGACCAACUUGUCGGGCCGUUUCUAAUCAACCUGCCUAAUUUCGACCCAUUCUAACACCAUCACGACAAAUGACAAUAUUGCCCCGGGUGCGAUUUUUCUUUGUUAAUUUUCUGUCCAGCCCUUCUUCAACCUGACGUAAUUAAUAAGGAAAGUAAUUCGUCGGAGGUCCAAACGAAGGAAUUUGGCUAAAAUCCCGUGAUCCUGGGUCUGUACCCCGAGUCCAAUUUCAAGCGCCGUUUCCAAUCAACCUGC